AUGGUGAUCUUCACAUGUUCCAUGAUGGGCACAAACAUCGCCUGAACAGUUUGUUUCCAUUUGUUUCAGAGAUGUUUACAAAUGCUCAUUAAAACAUUUUUAAGACAUCUUCUUUAAAAUACUUAUCAGAUUAUUCCAACAUCUGUGUUGUCUCAGUAGUGUCAUCUGUUGAUUUCCUUCUCUCAUUCCAGUUGAGAGUUUCCUGGCUCUUGGUAUGAUGGGUGGUUUUUUAUCCUAUUCUGAACAUUUGGGGUGUUACAUUAUGAGGCUCUAGAUCUUAUGUAAAUUUUUUGUUUUAGCUGGCCUGUGCUGAAACUGGACUGGUGGUGGAAGCCGGGCACUAACUCUUUAUCACUGGAAGGAAGUGGAAGUCCAGACUCCCCAGCAGCCUCCAUUGGUACCACCAUGGCAGGGAGCGGGGAGCUAUUCAUUACCAGCAGAUGAGGGUUAGAAGUUCAUGCUCCCUGGAUAGUCUCCACUAAACUGAAGGAAGGCAUUCAAGGAAGGGCAGCUCAUCGCCACAGGGCGGAGGUAGAAAUCCAGGCUGCCUACUUGACUUCCUGGGAGACCACCUCAGCAUGGAUGGAAAAGAGCACCUCAUCACCUCCAGGUAUUAUGGGAGAUAGGCUGGGACAGAGAAGGAAAGCCAGGAAGAAGAGACAGCAUGAGCAAAAGCAUGAAGAUCAGAAUUCAAAGAGGAUGCUGCUAAGAAACUACAGACAGAGUCUUGCUAUGUUGCCCAGUCUGGU
Long non-coding RNA from Homo sapiens (human), 749 nucleotides. NCBI's taxonomy places the organism in Eukaryota, Metazoa, Chordata, Mammalia, Primates, Hominidae. The record is from Ensembl.